RNA transcript from Grammomys surdaster, 418 nucleotides. It is a transcript of the gene named mitochondrial import receptor subunit TOM20 homolog pseudogene, with no coding region annotated. The record is from RefSeq and is a predicted model, not a curated record. Lineage: Eukaryota; Metazoa; Chordata; Mammalia; Rodentia; Muridae. The transcript has a single exon.
GCGGCUGCGAGCGGCCGGCGUGCGCCGAUCGGUCGGAGCUAACCGCUGCCAGGCGGGCUGCCCGCGGCCCGGCACACGCCGCAGUCGAGCGAAGAUGGUGGGCCGGAACAGCGCCAUCGACGCGGGCGUGUGCGGUGCCCUCUUCAUCGGGUACUGCAUCUACUUCGACCGCAAAAGGCGGAGUGACCCCAACUUCAAGAACAGGCUUCGAGAACGAAGAAAGAAACAGAAGCUUGCUAAGGAAAGAGCCGGGCUUUCCAAGUUACCUGACUUAAAAGAUGCCGAGGCUGUUCAGAAAUUCUUCCUUGAAGAGAUACAGCUUGGUGAGGAGUUACUAGCACAAGGUGACUACGAGAAAGGUGUGGACCACCUGACAAAUGCCAUUGCUGUGUGUGGACAGCAUCACCUGAGUUUUUAA